AGUAUGUUUCAGACUACUCAAAUAGACAACUUAAGAUUCUAACAAUCAAGCAUUAUAACUGAAUUUAGAAGCAACCCAUUUUAAUAUUCCUAAGCCAAAAAGAACUUUUUUGAAACUCAAAAACCAUAGUUCACAAAUAAAACUAGCCAACGACAAUAUAAAGCAGAGAAGGAUAAUCAGAUACUUAACGGGACUGCUGCUUAACCAAGGACAAAAUAGAAGGAACUGGAGUGUUAUUGACACUUAGUCCUCUGAUUCGGAUUCAAAAUAUUGAGUAAUCCUUGAUUGGUUUAUGGCUAAGCUAAUUUUCCCAAACCACACAACAACACAUACACCACACAACACU
Molecule: long non-coding RNA, 346 nt
Organism: Lycium ferocissimum
Lineage: Eukaryota; Viridiplantae; Streptophyta; Magnoliopsida; Solanales; Solanaceae
Exons: 2
Source: RefSeq, a predicted model, not a curated record